This 1499-nucleotide ribosomal RNA is filed under the name uncultured Bordetella sp. RNAcentral describes it as "partial 16S-23S ribosomal RNA intergenic spacer". It matches the Rfam family "Bacterial small subunit ribosomal RNA". Lineage: Bacteria; Pseudomonadati; Pseudomonadota; Betaproteobacteria; Burkholderiales; Alcaligenaceae. The record is from RNAcentral.
AGUUCGAUUAUGGCUCAGAUUGAACGCUGGCGGGAUGCUUUACAUGCAAGUCGAACAGCGGCGGACUUCGGUCUGGUGGCGAGUGGCGAACGAAUUGAGGAAGUAAUGUAUCGGAACGUGCCUAGUAGCGGGGGAUAACUACGCGAAAGCGUAGCUAAUACCACAUGCGCCCUUCGGGGAAAGCGGGGGACCUUCGGGCCUCGCACUAUUAAGAGAGCGGCCGAUAUCGGAUUGGCUAGUUGGUGGGAGUAACGGCUCACCAAGGCGACGAUCCGUAGCUGGUUUGAGAGGACGACCAGCCACACUGGGACUGAGACACGGCCAGACUCCUACGGGAGGCAGCAGUGGGGAAUUUUGGACAAUGGGGGAAACCUGAUCCAGCCAUCCCGCGUGUGCGAUGAAGGCCUUCGGGUUGUAAGCACUUUUGGCAGGAAAGAAACGGCACGGGAUAAUACCCGUGCAACUGACAGUACCUGCAGAAUAAGCACCGGCCUAACUACGUGCCAGCAACCGCGGUAAUACGUAGGGUGCAAGCGUUAAUCGGAAUUACUGGGCGUAAAGCGUGCGCAGGCGGUUCGGAAGAGAAAGAUGUGAAAUCCCAGAGCUUAACUUUGGAACUGCAUUUUUUAACUACCGAGCUAGAGUGUGUGUCAGAGGGAGUGGAAUUCCGCGUGUAGCAGUGAAAUGCGUAGAUAUGCGGAGGAACACCGAUGGCGAAGGCAGCCUCCUGGGAUAACACUGACGCUCAUGCACGGAAAGCGUGGGGAGCAAACAGGAUUAGAUACCCUGGUAGUCCACGCCCUAAACGAUGUCAACUAGCUGUUGGGGCCUUCGGGCCUUGGUAGCGCAGCUAACGCGUGAAGUUGACCGCCUGGGAGAGUACGGUCGCAAGAUUAAAACUCAAAGGAAUUGACGGGGACCCGCACAAGCGGUGGAUGAUGUGGAUUAAUUCGAUGCAACGCGAAAAACCUUACCUACCCUUGACAUGUCUGGAAUCCCGAAGAGAUUUGGGAGUGCUCGCAAGAGAACCGGAACACAGGUGCUGCAUGGCUGUCGUCAGCUCGUGUCGUGAAGAUGUUGGGUUAAGUCCGCAACGAGCGCAACCCUUGUCAUUAGUUGCUACGAAAGGGCACUCCUAAUGAGACUGCCGGUGACAAACCGGAGGAAGGUGGGGAUGACGUCAAGUCCUCAUGGCCCUUAUGGGUAGGGCUUCACACGUCAUACAAUGGUCGGGACAGAGGGUCGCCAACCCGCGAGGAGAGACCAAUCCCAGAAACCCGAUCGUAGUCCGGAUCGCAGUCUGCAACUCGACUGCGUGAAGUCGGAAUCUACACUUUAGUAAUCGCGGAUCAGCAUGUCGCGGUGAAUACGUUCCCGGGUCUUGUACACACCGCCCGUCACACCAUGGGAGUGGGUUUUACCAGAAGUAGUUAGCCUAACCGUAAGGAGGGCGAUUACCACAGUAGGAUUCAUGACUGGGGUGAAGUCGUAACAGGUAA